Molecule: ribosomal RNA, 821 nt
Filed under: uncultured bacterium
Lineage: Bacteria
Description: bacterial SSU rRNA
Rfam family: Bacterial small subunit ribosomal RNA
Source: RNAcentral
AGUCGAACGGAACUGUUUUGAAAGAUUUCUUCGGAAUGAAUUUGAUUUAGUUUAGUGGCGGACGGGUGAGUAACGCGUGAGUAACCUGCCUUCAAGAGGGGGAUAACAUUCUGAAAAGAAUGCUAAUACCGCAUGAUAUAUCGGAAUCACAUGAUUUUGAUAUCAAAGAUUUUAUCGCUUGAAGAUGGACUCGCGUCCGAUUAGUUAGUUGGUGAGGUAACGGCUCACCAAGACCGCGAUCGGUAGCCGGACUGAGAGGUUGAACGGCCACAUUGGGACUGAGACACGGCCCAGACUCCUACGGGAGGCAGCAGUGGGGGAUAUUGCGCAAUGGGGGCAACCCUGACGCAGCAACGCCGCGUGAAGGAUGAAGGUUUUCGGAUUGUAAACUUCUUUUAUUAAGGACGAAACUUGACGGUACUUAAUGAAUAAGCUCCGGCUAACUACGUGCCAGCAGCCGCGGUAAUACGUAGGGAGCAAGCGUUGUCCGGAUUUACUGGGUGUAAAGGGUGCGUAGGCGGCUUUGCAAGUCAGAUGUGAAAUCUAUGGGCUCAACCCAUAAACUGCAUUUGAAACUGUAGAGCUUGAGUGAAGUAGAGGCAGGCGGAAUUCCCCGUGUAGCGGUGAAAUGCGUAGAGAUGGGGAGGAACACCAGUGGCGAAGGCGGCCUGCUGGGCUUUAACUGACGCUGAGGCACGAAAGCGUGGGUAGCAAACAGGAUUAGAUACCCUGGUAGUCCACGCUAUAAACGAUGAUUACUAGGUGUGGGGGGUCUGACCCCUUCCGUGCCGGAGUUAACACAAUAAGUAAUCCACCUGGGG